RNAcentral lists this ribosomal RNA (486 nucleotides) under uncultured bacterium. Its description in RNAcentral is "partial 16S ribosomal RNA". It matches the Rfam family "Bacterial small subunit ribosomal RNA", at positions 30 to 507 of the family's 1533-position model. The record is from RNAcentral.
AUUGAACGCUGGCGGCAUGCCUUACACAUGCAAGUCGAACGGCAGCACGGGUGCUUGCACCUGGUGGCGAGUGGCGAACGGGUGAGUAAUACAUCGGAACAUGUCCUGUAGUGGGGGAUAGCCCGGCGAAAGCCGGAUUAAUACCGCAUACGAUCCACGGAUGAAAGCGGGGGACCUUCGGGCCUCGCGCUAUAGGGUUGGCCGAUGGCUGAUUAGCUAGUUGGUGGGGUAAAGGCCUACCAAGGUGACGAUCAGUAGCUGGUCUGAGAGGACGACCAGCCACACUGGGACUGAGACACGGCCCAGACUCCUACGGGAGGCAGCAGUGGGGAAUUUUGGACAAUGGGCGAAAGCCUGAUCCAGCAAUGCCGCGUGUGUGAAGAAGGCCUUCGGGUUGUAAAGCACUUUUGUCCGGAAAGAAAUCCUUGACUCUAAUACAGUCGGGGGAUGACGGUACCGGAAGAAUAAGCACCGGCUAACUACGUG